AUGAAAUUUAAAAAAAGAAAGGAAGGUGGAGAAAUGGAGAACAAGAUAAAGGCCUGGAAUCCCUGCUGCUCCAGAAAGAUCUGCAUGCACUCUCUAAAAAGAAGUAGAAGAAGAAGAAAAGAAAAAGAAAGAAAUAUUAUGAAGAACUUUAUGCCAAUAACUUAACAACUUUAAUAAAAUGCACAUAUGUACUGAAUAGCAUGAGCUUCCAUAGCUCAUUCAGGAUGGAAGAACUAGAUUUUGAUUAGCCCUGUAUCUAUUAAGAAGUUAAAUCUUUUUUUCUCCUUUUUUUAAAAAAAGAUUUCUUUCUUUUUUUUCUUGUUACUCUAAUAAAAAGGCAAAAGUAAAAAAAAAUUUUUUUCAGGGGUACAGGUCUGUGAUUCAUCAGUUUUACAUAAUACCCAUUGCUUAUUACAACACAUACCCUCCCCAAUCUACUUUUUAACUGCAAUCUGUUAAAGAAGUUGAAUGAAAAUCCUUUCCACAAAGAAAAUUCACUGGUGAACUCUACCAAGCACUUAAGAAAGACAGAACAUCUAAACAAACUCUUCUAGAAAACUGAAGAAGAGGAAAUACUUUCUAACUCAUUUUCUGAGACUAGUAUUAGUUGACUACCAAAACCAGGCAAAGAUAGUAAUGAAAACUAAAGACCAAUAUCCCCCAGGAGGACAGAUGUAAAAACCCUUAGCAAAACUUUAGCAAGUUAAAUGUGACAAUACAGAAAAAAAUACCAUAGCUCAGGACCAAGCAGGGCUCAUCCCAGAAGUACAGUGCUAGAAGAAGGGCAAGGAGGCUGGUGUGGCUGGACUGAAUGAGCUGGGAAGUGGGAAGAAAUCUGAGCAGUAAAAGGAAGGAGAUCAUGAGGUCUGGGCACAUGUUCUGACUUAACUGGUUUCAAUGACCCUGAACUAAAUGGGUAAUACUAAUGGUAAGCAUUUGAGACCCUUUUAUAGGCAGACAGGGAGGAUUUGGGGGGUAGCAUAAGUAUCACAGAGAAUUGUUAACCUGAUCCUAAGGAUUUGGAUUUUCAAUCCCAGGGAGAGGUACCUGGGAAGCCAUUACAGGGUCUAGAGCAGAAGAGUGAUAUACCAUCAUUUGUGUUUUAACAGUCUAUUUUGUUGAGAACAUAUUUUAAUAGAGUAAGGUUAGAAUCAGGGAGACCAACUAAUAAUAUGUAAAGCAAAGUAUUUUGUAAAUAAUAAACAAGUCAAUAUUAAGAAUCAGUAUUGCAGUAACAGUCAUUUUCUUAAUGUACCAUUUCUGACUAGCUGCUCUACAUAGACUACUUAUAAAUAACAGUCUUUUGAUAAAAUACAUUUUGGUGGGGAGGACUCUCAGAGGAAUGUGGGGAACCUGCUUGGAUGUGUACUAAAGUACAAUGGCACUAAUCGUUCAUUGUCAAAAACAAAAUGUCAUGCUGAAUGAUAGGACUCUGGAAUAAUACGGCAUUCCCUAAUGUGAUGUACUUGGUCCUGACUUGAUUGUGAUGUCAGAAAUACACAAUAUUUAACAUUAUUCCAAAGAGCUGGUCUCCCUUAAACCACCCACCUACAGUCAUCGUUCACCUGACUGAUGGUCAGAGACCCCCUGUAGGGUUUAAUUCCUACUUGUGCCAGAGUAAUCCAGAAGAAGCUCUAUCUGCUACUAGGAACAAAAGUUCCCAGGGCCUAAAGAUAGUGGAUAUAAUAUUUAUCUACAAUGGCCAGAGACAAUUUAAACCUUUCAGGAAGUAAAGAACCAGAAAGACUAAGAACAUAGAACCAAGGCUACAGCCAGGUAAAUGGAACCAAAGAUCAAGUCCAAGACAUGAAGCACCCAUGGGUAACAAGCUUGUGUUGAGGAGGAAUUGGAAUCAGGUUUGUGUUCAUGGGUAAGGUUGUGAAUAUGGAAUACAUAACAGAGUUUUCUUUCACAAAGGAACUAGAAUAUGUUUGAGGGUGGGGUGGCCAUUUCUACUAAGUGAUUUAAAAAACGUAUAUAAUCCGAUACAGGCCUAAUUUAGUGCUCUACAUCAUAAUGAUUCAAUUCGUUUUAACACUCUUAAAAGAAUAAUGCAAUGGUGAGAGUAUUUGGCUCCUUUGCAGGUGGACAGGGACAAUUUUCUUGGAGGAAGUAAGUGCCCUAUAGAGAAUUAUCAACCCCAUCCACAUAUAAAGUCAAUUCUGCUGACAUGUAAAAGUUUUUCACAGGUAGACAAUGCAGUUUCUAUUUAGCACAUGGGCCUUCCACCUGGGAAAGUCCAGCUUGGCGAUGACAUUUCGGUCCAGCUCACAAAGUUUACCUAUUGGCUGCUGUGUGCUUUAUAGUGAUGUUUUCUAAAGCUAAGAA
This 2328-nucleotide long non-coding RNA is filed under the name Ailuropoda melanoleuca (giant panda). Its description in RNAcentral is "lncRNA (ENSAMEG00000026646.1)". The record is from RNAcentral. Lineage: Eukaryota; Metazoa; Chordata; Mammalia; Carnivora; Ursidae.